GAAUUGAUUACUUCGGUUUGAUUUUCCUGACAAUGAGCGGCGAACGGGUGCGUUACACGUGAGAAACCUGCCCUUAAGUUCAGGAUAGCCCUACGAAAGUAGGAUUAAUACCGAAUGUGGCCAAGGAAGGGCAUCUUCCCUUGGCUAAAGCUCGGUUAUAGAGCGCUUUUGGAUGGUCUCGCGGUCUAUCAGCUUGUUGGUGAGGUAACGGCUCACCAAGGCUCUGACGGAUAGCUGGUCUGAGAGGAUGAUCAGUCACACUGGAACUGAGACACGGUCCACACCCCUACGGGGGGCAGCAGUCGAGAAUCAUUCACAAUGGGCGCAAGCCUGAUGGUGCGACGCCGCGUGGGGGAUGAAGGGCUUCGGUUCGUAAACCCCUGUCAUCUGUGAGUAAGGUUCCCAAUAAAAGCUUGGGAGAUUGAUAUUAGCAGAAGAGGAAGGGACGGCUAACUCAGUGCCAGCAGCCGCGGUAAUACUGGGGUCCCAAGCGUUGUUCGGAUUUACUGGGCGUAAAGGGUGCGU
This 525-nucleotide ribosomal RNA is filed under the name uncultured Verrucomicrobiota bacterium. RNAcentral's name for it is "bacterial SSU rRNA". It matches the Rfam family "Bacterial small subunit ribosomal RNA", at positions 64 to 572 of the family's 1533-position model. The record is from RNAcentral. Lineage: Bacteria; Pseudomonadati; Verrucomicrobiota.